UACGAGGGGUGCAAGCGUUAUUCGGAAUCAUUGGGCGUAAAGGGUGCGUAGACGGCUUAUUAAGUCAACUGUUAAAUUCUCCGGCCUAACUGGAGGUCAGCAGUAGAAACUGAUAGGCUUGAGGUUGGAAGAGAGGAGUGGAAUUCUCGGAGUAGCGGUAAAAUGCGUAGAUCUCGAGAGGAACACCGAUGGCGAAGGCAGCUCCUUGGUCCAUACCUGACGUUGAGGCACGAAAGCGUGGGGAGCGAACAGG
This 253-nucleotide ribosomal RNA is filed under the name uncultured bacterium. RNAcentral's name for it is "partial 16S ribosomal RNA". It matches the Rfam family "Bacterial small subunit ribosomal RNA", at positions 524 to 776 of the family's 1533-position model. The record is from RNAcentral.